AGUGAACGCUGGCGGUAGGCCUAACACAUGCAAGUCGAACGGCAGCACAGGAGAGCUUGCUCUCUGGGUGGCGAGUGGCGGACGGGUGAGGAAUACAUCGGAAUCUACUCUGUCGUGGGGGAUAACGUAGGGAAACUUACGCUAAUACCGCAUACGACCUACGGGUGAAAGCAGGGGACCUUCGGGCCUUGCGCGAUUGAAUGAGCCGACGUCGGAUUAGCUAGUUGGCGGGGUAAAGGCCCACCAAGGCGACGAUCCGUAGCUGGUCUGAGAGGAUGAUCAGCCACACUGGAACUGAGACACGGUCCAGACUGCUACCGGAGGCAGCAGUGGGGAAUAUUGGACAAUGGGCGCAAGCCUGAUCCAGCCAUACCGCGUGGGUGAAGAAGGCCUUCGGGUUGUAAGGCCCUUUUGUUGGGAAAGAAAUCCAGCUGGCUAAUACCCGGUUGGGAUGACGGUACCCAAAGAAUAAGCACCGGCUAACUUCGUGCCAGCCGCCGCAGUAA
Molecule: ribosomal RNA, 506 nt
Filed under: uncultured bacterium
Lineage: Bacteria
Description: partial 16S ribosomal RNA
Rfam family: Bacterial small subunit ribosomal RNA
Source: RNAcentral